UGGGGAAUCUUGCACAAUGGGCGAAAGCCUGAUGCAGCGACGCCGCGUGAGCGAUGAAGGCCUUCGGGUUGUAAAGCUCUGUGGGGAGGGACGAAUAUGGGUUGGCUAAUAUCCAACUCGAUGACGGUACCUCCUUAGCAAGCACCGGCUAACUCUGUG
RNAcentral lists this ribosomal RNA (159 nucleotides) under uncultured bacterium. RNAcentral describes it as "partial 16S rRNA". It matches the Rfam family "Bacterial small subunit ribosomal RNA", at positions 355 to 507 of the family's 1533-position model. The record is from RNAcentral.